CAGUGAUGGAAGCACGGCUACCGCCGGA
This 28-nucleotide small RNA is filed under the name Bombyx mori (domestic silkworm). RNAcentral describes it as "ovarian small RNA-13357". Lineage: Eukaryota; Metazoa; Arthropoda; Insecta; Lepidoptera; Bombycidae. The record is from RNAcentral.